This 468-nucleotide ribosomal RNA is filed under the name uncultured bacterium. RNAcentral's name for it is "partial 16S ribosomal RNA". It matches the Rfam family "Bacterial small subunit ribosomal RNA", at positions 28 to 507 of the family's 1533-position model. The record is from RNAcentral.
GACGAACGCUGGCGGCGUGCUUAACACAUGCAAGUCGAACGGAAAGGCCCUGCUUUUGUGGGGUGCUCGAGUGGCGAACGGGUGAGUAACACGUGAGUAUCCUGCCCUUGACUUUGGGAUAUCUUCAGGAAACUGGGGCUAAUACCGGAUAGGAGCUACUGCUGCAUGGUGGGGGUUGGAAAGUUUCGGCGGUUGGGGAUGGACUCGCGGCUUAUCAGCUUGUUGGUGGGGUAGUGGCUUACCAAGGCUUUGACGGGUAGCCGGCCUGAGAGGGUGACCGGCCACAUUGGGACUGAGAUACGGCCCAGACUCCUACGGGAGGCAGCAGUGGGGAAUAUUGCACAAUGGGCGGAAGCCUGAUGCAGCAACGCCGCGUGCGGGAUGACGGCCUUCGGGUUGUAAACCGCUUUCGCCUGUGACGAAGCGUGAGUGACGGUAAUGGGUAAAGAAGCACCGGCUAACUACGUG